Molecule: non-coding RNA, 25 nt
Filed under: Mus musculus (house mouse)
Lineage: Eukaryota; Metazoa; Chordata; Mammalia; Rodentia; Muridae
Source: RNAcentral
UGUCAAACCAGUGGGCUGCAUUUGU